CGUCGAAUAGCUCAGUUGGUAGAGCAACGGACCGAUAAUCCGCAGGUCGCUGGUUCGAAUCCAGCUUCGACGA
RNAcentral lists this transfer RNA (73 nucleotides) under Acinetobacter phage Acj9. It matches the Rfam family "tRNA". Rfam says of the family: Transfer RNA (tRNA) molecules are approximately 80 nucleotides in length. Their secondary structure includes four short double-helical elements and three loops (D, anti-codon, and T loops). Lineage: Duplodnaviria; Heunggongvirae; Uroviricota; Caudoviricetes; Pantevenvirales; Straboviridae. The record is from Rfam by way of RNAcentral.